AUGGCGACCGGCGCACGGGUGAGUAACACGCAUCCAACCUGCCGAUAACUCGGGGAUAGCCUUUCGAAAGAAAGAUUAAUACCCGAUGGUAUAAUCAGACCGCAUGGUCUUGUUAUUAAAGAAUUUCGGUUAUCGAUGGGGAUGCGUUCCAUUAGGCAGUUGGUGAGGUAACGGCUCACCAAACCUUCGAUGGAUAGGGGUUCUGAGAGGAAGGUCCCCCACAUUGGAACUGAGACACGGUCCAA
Molecule: ribosomal RNA, 245 nt
Filed under: uncultured bacterium
Lineage: Bacteria
Description: partial 16S ribosomal RNA
Rfam family: Bacterial small subunit ribosomal RNA
Source: RNAcentral